ACUCCUACGGGAGGCAGCAGUGGGGAAUAUUGCACAAUGGGGGAAACCCUGAUGCAGCCAUGCCGCGUGUGUGAAGAAGGCCUUCGGGUUGUAAAGCACUUUCAGUAGGGAGGAAGGUAGUGUAGUUAACACCUGCAUUAUUUGACGUUACCUACAGAAGAAGCACCGGCUAACUCCGUGCCAGCAGCCGCGGUAAUACGGAGGGUGCGAGCGUUAAUCGGAAUUACUGGGCGUAAAGCGCAUGCAGGCGGCCUGUUAAGUCAGAUGUGAAAGCCCGGGGUCUUAACCUCGGAAUUGCAUUUGAAACUGGCAGGCUAGAGUCUUGUAGAGGGGUUAGAAUUUCAGGUGUAGCGGUGAAAUGCGUAGAGAUCUGAAGGAAUACCAGUGGCGAAGCGGCCCCUGGACAAAGACUGACGCUCAGAUGCGAAAGCGUGGGAGCAAACAGGAUUAGAUACCCCGUGGU
RNAcentral lists this ribosomal RNA (463 nucleotides) under uncultured bacterium. Its description in RNAcentral is "bacterial SSU rRNA". It matches the Rfam family "Bacterial small subunit ribosomal RNA", at positions 335 to 794 of the family's 1533-position model. The record is from RNAcentral.